Molecule: long non-coding RNA, 535 nt
Filed under: Dromaius novaehollandiae (emu)
Lineage: Eukaryota; Metazoa; Chordata; Aves; Casuariiformes; Dromaiidae
Description: lncRNA (ENSDNVG00000002484.1)
Source: RNAcentral
AAUAAAGAGGCUUAAGAAAAACAUUCUCUUUGUUAUUAAUUCAUACAGAUACAGUCAUAAUGAGACUGAAUGACUCAGAAAGCUAACUGCAAAGUUUGAGAGGCCUAUCUCUUGGUCCAUGAUUUCAGCCUGUUUCAGGUGACCAGUAAGAAGGCUUCAUCAUAUGCUACUCUUGCUACAACUAAAUACUAUUAUCUCUGGAAUCAGAAACACUUUGAUUCAUCACUGAAGAUCUACAUAGAAAUUACGAAGCAAACUUCAGCAAAAUCAAAUGAGUAGCCUGGUUUAGAGAGAAAUAAACAUCAAUGUUAUUACAGGGAAAGAAACUGAGCUGGGAAUUUUUCUUGACAAUAGCUGAAGAACUUCUGAGAAGUCCUGGAAUACCAGCAGGCCGAGACUACAGAGGCUUGGGCCAGCAACUUCUCCAUUACCUCUCCGGUAACAGUCAGUUCUUCCGAUGAGACGUGGUCUCCAGAAGUCCCCGGCAAGGCGGUGUGCAUUCCAGAUUCCACUUCAAUUAUUCACGUGGGGACUG